GGUGUUAUCUCCUAUGCUCGCUCGCACUCUCCAGGUAUAACUCCCUUACUCCCUUAGGCAUUCGCACUCCAGGGAAGGGGUGGACUUUUUUUUUUCUAGUUCGCAAGGCUCUCGCUCUCUCUCUCUCUCUCUCUCUCCCGGUUUUCCUCCUGUUCAAUCUAUCCAGAGAAGCGAAAGCCCCCCUCCUCUCCGCCGUUUUUGGUUCGCAGAUCCAAGGAGAAAGUCGAAGCCCCUCUAUGCGGAGUCCUCUGUUUGCCUCCCCCGAUCGCGAGAAGACGGAAGUCCCCUCUCUCCCUGUCCGAGACUUGAGGCCGGAGGCCUCCUCCCUCGCUCGCUCUUGGCUUCGUGCACUGGGACCGAACCCGACGCCUUCGACUUGCUCUAGCCGCUGGACUCGCAAGGUGAUUUCUUUCCCUCUCUUUCUUUCUUUACCUCUAUUUCUGCUUCUUCCCACGUUUCUUCCAUCUUCUUCUACUUCUCUUCCUCUUGUUCUUUUUCUUCAUUCCUUUCUUCUUCCUCUUCUCCUAACUUCUUCCCCUUCCUCUUCUCCCAACUUCUUACCCUUCCCCCUUUCUUUCCUUUUUUCUUUUUCUUUCAUGAAAAUCCUGAUUGUAAAACGGUUAGAAAAAAAUUCUUUGAAAACAGAUUAAGUGCUGGUCCCUAUUUCUAUUAUUGCUAAGAUGACAAAGUGUUUUGAAUUGAAAUGUGGUAAAGAUUGAGAGAUUCAAAAUGGGAAAUGACUCAACCGGUAUCCAAGCCCGAAAAAAUGUACGUUAGUAUUUUAAUUGUGUUUUAUUUUAAUUAAUUUAUAUUAAUUAUUAUCGUGCUCUAAUACAACCUUUUUUUUUGCUUUUCUAUAAUUUUUGCGAGGAAACGCUAGGGAGUGAAAGGUAAGGAUCCUUUGGAGUUGCUGUGAUGAAGGAGUCUACAUAAACAAAUCAAUCGCCUCCAUUCAUUACGGUGGGAGUGCUACGGGUGGAACCACUGGGUCAUAGCCCUCGGUGUAGUAAGUUCUCUUAAAACUUAGAUAGCCCUUAGGAUCCUUUUGUGUUUACGCUUCCUACCCUUUCGGGCUUUGUAGCAACUUCAAUUUUAUUAGGAUCUUUUUAUUUCUUUUAGAUCCCUAAACCCAUUUACACACAUGUAUAUGUCCGAAGGGUUAGAAAUAAUAUUUUUCUUUCAUAUAACACUAGUGACACAUAAGGGCAAGAAUUAAAGACUAAGUCUUAGAUAACAUAGACUUAGGAUAGUUGUUCCUUUUAGGAUAUAGACAUUAAAACAUAGAGAACUUAGUGACACAUUUUUAUAGGAUUAGUAUGCCAUGAUUCAUUAAUUAUUAAU
This is a long non-coding RNA of Dendrobium catenatum, 1341 nucleotides long. RefSeq lists it as uncharacterized. The record is from RefSeq and is a predicted model, not a curated record. NCBI's taxonomy places the organism in Eukaryota, Viridiplantae, Streptophyta, Magnoliopsida, Asparagales, Orchidaceae. The transcript is spliced from 2 exons.